CAAGUCGAACGAGAAAGUGGAGCAAUCCAUGAGUACAGUGGCGUACGGGUGAGUAACACGUGGGUAAUCUACCUCUUAGUGAGGAAUAACCCUGGGAAACCGGGGCUAAUACCGCAUAAGCCUGAGAAGGGAAAGCAGCAAUGCGCUGAGAGAGGAGCCCGCGGCCGAUUAGCUAGUUGGUGGGGUAAGAGCCUACCAAGGCAGAGAUCGGUAGCCGGCCUGAGAGGGCACACGGCCACACUGGCACUGAAACACGGGCCAGACUCCUACGGGAGGCAGCAGUGGGGAAUCUUGCACAAUGGGGGAAACCCUGAUGCAGCGACGCCGCGUGAGCGAUGAAGCCCUUCGGGGUGUAAAGCUCUUUCGUCAGGGAAGAUAGUGACGGUACCUGGAGAAGCAGCUGCGGCUAACUACGUGCCAGCAGCCGCGGUAAUACGUAGGCAGCAAGCGUUGUUCGGAGUUACUGGGCGUAAAGGGUGUGUAGGCGGUUCUUUAAGUUUGGUGUGAAAUCUCCCGGCUUAACCGGGAGGGUGCGCCGAAUACUGAGGGACUAGAGUACGGGAGAGGAAAGUGGAAUUCCUGGUGUAGCGGUGAAAUGCGUAGAUAUCAGGAGGAACACCGGUGGUGUAGACGGCUUUCUGGACCGUAACUGACGCUGAGACACGAAAGCGUGGGUAGCAAACAGGAUUAGAUACCCUGGUAGUCCACGCCCUAAACGAUGCAUAUUUGGUGUGGGCAGUUCAUUCUGUCCGUGCCGGAGCUAACGCGUUAAUAUGCCGCCUGGGGAGUACAGUCGCAGGGCUGAAACUCAAAGGAUUUGACGGGGGCCCCCACAAGCGGUGGAGCAUGUGGUUCA
Molecule: ribosomal RNA, 856 nt
Filed under: uncultured Bacillota bacterium
Lineage: Bacteria; Bacillati; Bacillota
Description: bacterial SSU rRNA
Rfam family: Bacterial small subunit ribosomal RNA
Source: RNAcentral